RNAcentral lists this ribosomal RNA (207 nucleotides) under uncultured bacterium. Its description in RNAcentral is "partial 16S ribosomal RNA". It matches the Rfam family "Bacterial small subunit ribosomal RNA", at positions 1286 to 1500 of the family's 1533-position model. The record is from RNAcentral.
UCUCAGUUCGGAUUGGAGUCUGNAACCCGACUCCAUGAAGCUGGAUUCGCUAGUAAUCGCGCAUCAGCCACGGCGCGGUGAAUACGUUCCCGGGCCUUGUACACACCGCCCGUCAAGCCAUGGAAGCCGGGGGUGCCUGAAGUGCGCUGCCGCGAGGAGCGCCCUAGGGUAAAACCGGUGACUGGGGCUAAGUCGUAACAAGGUAGC